GAGUUUGAUCCUGGCUCAGAACGAACGUUGGCGGCGUGGAUUAGGCAUGCAAGUCGGGGGAAUCCCAGCAAUGGGGGAACCGGCGUAAGGGGCAGUAAUGUGUGGGUACCUACCCUAGGGUUCGGGAUAGCCAUCAGAGAUGGUGGGUAAUACCGGAUGAUGUCGUGAGACCAAAGAUUUAUCGCCCCGGGAGGGGCCCACAUGAUAUUAGCUAGUUGGUGAGGUAACGGCUCACCAAGGCGAAGAUGUCUAGCGGGUGUGAGAGCACGACCCGCGCCACUCGCACUGAGACACUGGCGAGACACCUACGGGUGGCUGCAGUCGAGGAUCUUCGGCAAUGAGCGCAAGCUUGACCGAGCGACGCCGCGUGCGCGAUGAAGGCC
Molecule: ribosomal RNA, 383 nt
Filed under: uncultured Planctomycetia bacterium
Lineage: Bacteria; Pseudomonadati; Planctomycetota; Planctomycetia
Description: bacterial SSU rRNA
Rfam family: Bacterial small subunit ribosomal RNA
Source: RNAcentral